CUUGGGGACAGUUUCCAUAUUAUCUUUUGUGCCUCGCUGUGUUGCCAUAUAUCCCUGGAACACAGUCAAUGCACAGAAAGAAAUCUGUCUCCUGACUUUAGGACAAUGGCACGAUUGGUGGCCACAGUCCAAGGAUGGUUGCUGGUGAGCAGUUACAGAUGCCCCGAGACACAGCAGGCGACUUGCAUUUACAUCCUAACUGAGCUUGUUGGACACUGAAAUGGAGAGAGUUUCAAGACAACUCUGUGA
This is a long non-coding RNA of Cercocebus atys (sooty mangabey), 249 nucleotides long. RefSeq lists it as uncharacterized. Lineage: Eukaryota; Metazoa; Chordata; Mammalia; Primates; Cercopithecidae. The record is from RefSeq and is a predicted model, not a curated record. The transcript is spliced from 4 exons.